RNAcentral lists this unclassified non-coding RNA (391 nucleotides) under soil metagenome. Its description in RNAcentral is "partial contains 5.8S ribosomal RNA, internal transcribed spacer 2, and large subunit ribosomal RNA". The stretch from base 1 to 122 matches the Rfam family "5.8S ribosomal RNA", at positions 35 to 154 of the family's 154-position model. The record is from RNAcentral.
GAUGAAGAACGCAGCGAAAUGCGAUACUUGGUGUGAAUUGCAGAAUCCCGUGAACCAUCGAGUCUUUGAACGCAAGUUGCGCCCGAAGCCAUUAGGCCGAGGGCACGCCUGCCUGGGCGUCACACGUCGUUGCCCCCCCAUCUACUCCUUCGGGAUUGCGGGGGGCGGAUGAUGGCCUCCCGUGCGCCUCGCCGCGCGGUUGGCAUAAAUGCCAAGUCCUCGGCGACGCACGCCACGACAAUCGGUGGUUGCGAAACCUCGGUUGCCCGUCGUGUGCGGUCGUCGCGCAUCGAGGGCUCGAAAAAAUUGCCGGGUUCCGGCUCGGCUUUCAACGCGACCCCAGGGCAGGCGGGGUUACCCGCUGAAUUUAAGCAUAUCAAUAAGCGGAGGA